UACGAAGGGGGCUAGCGUUGUUCGGAUUUACUGGGCGUAAAGCGCACGUAGGCGGAUCGUUAAGUCAGGGGUGAAAUCCCGGGGCUCAACCUCGGAACUGCCUUUGAUACUGGCUAUCUUGAGUAUGGGAGAGGUGUGUGGAACUCCGAGUGUAGAGGUGAAAUUCGUAGAUAUUCGGAAGAACACCAGUGGCGAAGGCGACACACUGGCCCAUUACUGACGCUGAGGCUCGAAAGCGUGGGGAGCAAACAGG
Molecule: ribosomal RNA, 253 nt
Filed under: uncultured bacterium
Lineage: Bacteria
Description: partial 16S ribosomal RNA
Rfam family: Bacterial small subunit ribosomal RNA
Source: RNAcentral